RNAcentral lists this ribosomal RNA (253 nucleotides) under uncultured bacterium. RNAcentral describes it as "partial 16S ribosomal RNA". It matches the Rfam family "Bacterial small subunit ribosomal RNA", at positions 524 to 776 of the family's 1533-position model. The record is from RNAcentral.
UACGAGGGGGGCAAGCGUUGUUCGGAAUUAUUGGGCGUAAAGGGCGUGUAGGCGGUCCGCUAAGUCUGAUGUGAAAGCCCGGGGCUCACCCCCGGAAGUGCAUUGGAAACUGGCGGACUCGAGUCCCGGAGAGGAGAGUGGAAUUCCUGGUGUAGCGGUGAAAUGCGUAGAUAUCAGGAGGAACACCGGUGGCGAAGGCGGCUCUCUGGACGGUGACUGACGCUGAGACGCGAAAGCGUGGGGAGCAAACAGG